RNAcentral lists this transfer RNA (76 nucleotides) under Methanobrevibacter millerae. RNAcentral's name for it is "tRNA_Met_CAT". It matches the Rfam family "tRNA". Rfam says of the family: Transfer RNA (tRNA) molecules are approximately 80 nucleotides in length. Their secondary structure includes four short double-helical elements and three loops (D, anti-codon, and T loops). The record is from RNAcentral. Lineage: Archaea; Methanobacteriati; Methanobacteriota; Methanobacteria; Methanobacteriales; Methanobacteriaceae.
GCCGGGGUGGCUCAGCUGGUUAGAGCGCACGGCUCAUAGUACCGUGAGGCCACGGGUUCGAAUCCCGUUCCCGGCA